GGAGAGUAUGCGCAUGCGCAUUGCCGUGGUGGUUUAAAAAAUAAAGACAUAAUGGAAAGUAAUUAAUAAAAAUUAAAUAUUUAAACAUUCCCACAAAUGUGCAAUGAACGUGCACAAACACUGUUUAUUAGUAGUUGCUGUUUCUUUCUUUGUUCCUUUUUUUUUUUUUGAAAAAUAACAACGUCUCUGAGGCGCGAAUUCCGACAGUGAGAGGAAUGGCCGGAUACGGGAGACGGGAAGAAACAAGCCGAUUAUGUUCGCGUUAAUUAGGUGGUUGGAAGAUGUAAAAUUCUCAAUUCUGCCAGCUGAACAUAUACGAGAUUUUAAUGAGGAUGAAUAAUUAGCCGGCAUGGAGGAAACGGACCUUUAUUUGGUGGAGUGGCGACAAGAAGCCAAAAGGCGGGUGGCCGGUCUAUGAAGCCUCCAUCAUCAAGCUAGCAGAAAUCCCACCUCUCCUUCUGGCUACAGAGCACUUACUUACCAAGCCCAUGAAAUCGAAUGCAGAUCUUCCUGAUGUCAGAUUUACAUAAAUAUGUCAAAGUCUCAACCUCAUGCUGCCCUCCCCCAUCCUCCUAAACCUGUGGAUACAAAUGCAGAUUUCCUUAAUGUUCAAUGGUGCGUGUUCUUCUAAUGGCCGCCUUCCCACUGGAGGUUUUGAUCCACAGCAAUUUAAAAGGAGGACAGAUCAAAACGGACAUCGUCGCAGAGUGAAGAACUGCCCUUCAUAAGGACACUAUGACAGCCAUAUAUAUGGCAGUAAGGAAGAGGUUUCCCAAUGUGUCCAGAAGGGCUUUGAGGAUUGCAGUGAAAGCUGGGGGAACUGAGACUGCUGGAAAAGGAAAAGAAAUUACAUUUAAAGUAUGUUGACUUGUGUUCAUACAAUCAC
Oreochromis niloticus (Nile tilapia) is the source of this 886-nucleotide long non-coding RNA. RefSeq lists it as uncharacterized. The record is from RefSeq and is a predicted model, not a curated record. The transcript has 8 exons. NCBI's taxonomy places the organism in Eukaryota, Metazoa, Chordata, Actinopteri, Cichliformes, Cichlidae.